AUGAUGCUGGAGCCGGGCCGCGUGAUGCUGCUGGCGGACAUGGUUCUGAGCUGGAGGCGGCCCGCGGACUCGCUGCAGCCGGUCCACUGCCGCUGCUCCCGGGCCUUCGUGCUGGACAGAGAGCUGUAUCGUUCAGAGAGAGGAACAUCCCGACCCAAAGACGCUAAAGGUCCAGUGAUAGUAUUUGAUGAUGACGAGGAGGAGGAGGGUGAGGAGGUCUUAGAUGAGGAGACGCAGCUGAUGGUGUCCAUGGGUCUACCUCUGACCUUUGCCAGCUCCUCUGACUAUAAGAAGAUGAAGAGGAACAUCAACAGGAGGCCCGACCCUUUUGAGGAGGAGGAUGAGGAGGACGAGGAGGAGGAGGAUGAGGGGGAUGAACCAGGUGAAACAGGUAAAACAGAUAGGUUGGGAUGACUUACUGAAGUGCAUUAAAGGGAAACUAUUCCUCUAACAUACUGAUUUCAGAUCUUCUCUAAAAGGGCCACGAUUUUAUUAAGCCUGUGAGAGUAAACUAUAUUCACAUAUAUGGUCAUAUAUAACUUUUGUAACAUUAAAAAAACAAAUUAUUUAUGAAAUACGAGUCAUUUUUGUGGACUUUUCAUACCCAGAAGUGAGACGACUUGAUCUCUGAGGCUCCUCCUUUCACUUUCUCAACGUUCGUGUGAUUUACUUGCUCGUCCGGCCUCGGCAUCAGGUUUGAUUGGAGGAAUGGUGCCAGCUCUGAGGUUUAAUCUACUUUGAUACAGACCAAGGAUAACGAAACAGUCUGGGCUCUGGUCUGAUCCUCCCAUGGAACCUCACGGGGAGACCGGCGGCAGAACGCGGUGAUUGCACCACGAGGCUCUUCUGAACAUCCACAGGGCAGAGGGGCUCGAUCAGCCCACCGGUCCGGGUAUGGUCAUCAGAUCACAUGGACGGAUCUCAAUCAACGCGAAAAUUGACCACGAAGGAGAAAUUAAUAAUUGCAGUUUGUGUCCAGCUUGGAUUAAAUUACAUCAAAGCUAUGGUAUAUCAGAAUAGAGCUGUGAAAGAACAGGCCUGGAGGAGGAGUUGCGAGGUUUGCACCACUUUGUCAAUAAACCCUUUUCACGUGACGUCACAC
RNAcentral lists this long non-coding RNA (1102 nucleotides) under Oryzias javanicus (javanese ricefish). Its description in RNAcentral is "lncRNA (ENSOJAG00000018711.1)". The record is from RNAcentral. Lineage: Eukaryota; Metazoa; Chordata; Actinopteri; Beloniformes; Adrianichthyidae.